Physeter macrocephalus (sperm whale) is the source of this 2215-nucleotide long non-coding RNA. RefSeq lists it as uncharacterized. The record is from RefSeq and is a predicted model, not a curated record. NCBI's taxonomy places the organism in Eukaryota, Metazoa, Chordata, Mammalia, Artiodactyla, Physeteridae. The transcript is spliced from 4 exons.
GGGUGGGGCAUGAUCAGGAGGACGUGGGCCUGGGACACUGGACCGUGGGGAUUAGAGGUUUCGUGGAAAGAAGCUGCAGUUCCUGUUCAGAGGCAUAAGUCCCUGCCGGAAAUGGUCUUGGGAAAGACUGGUUGAGUGUGGCAAGAGCUGGCAAACCUGGGAUUUCAUGGAGGGAAGGAGGAUCUUCAGCCUUUCCUGAGGGCCGGCAACCCGGAGCCCUCCAUCUCGUAACACCUGGACCAGCGGGUCCCCCAGAUGGUGCUGAGGGCAUGCAUCCCAGGCAGAGGGACUGCUCCGAGCCGUCUGGGAUGCUUCUCAGCCUCGAGAUCCGGCUCGGACAAAGGAUGUACUCAACCAUAACGCCCAUGGGACCAAAGGCAAGGCGGCAGGUGGAAGCAGAGCUGCAAAGAUAGCAGUCGUUGGAGGAGCACGGAAAGACCUCACAUAAAAGCGAUGGAGCUGGCUGACAAGUCUGAGGACAACUGACGCUUUUGAAGGAAGAAACAGCAAUUUCAGAAAAUGAAUCCUGUGGUUUAGAAAGAAAUCAACUGAACUGAAAUAAAGAAAGAAAAGAAAAGAAAAAAAUUGUUCUCAUCACAAAGAAAACAAUUUCCUUAGGCCUAGAGAAUUAUAGUCUAUUUAUGAAGGCUUCAACCCUCUGAGAUAUCUAGAUUUUGAGUGUCAAAAGGAACCUUUAAAGAUAGCUUUUUCAUCUGAGUCCUGAAUUUUACAGAAAGGAAACUGAGGCUCUGAGAGAGUUUGGGACCAUAUAACUAGUUAGUGGAAGCUGACUCCCAGUUUUCCUGCCUUUAUUUUACUCCUUUUUACUUUUGCUCUUUAAAUGACAGGGUAUUCAUAGGCCAUUGGGAAGAAAAAAAACAAGACAGCUUGUGCUUCUGCAAGAAAGGUCAGUGAGAGCUCCGAAACUUCUAGAAAGAGGAGAGUCAAAUUAUUUAAUCUAAUUCCAGGAAUAGUCUUGAUCUUAUUAGCUGAGGGACUGAAUAAGGAGGCAAAGGCCUUACAAAGCAAGAUUUAUUACUACUUUCCAUAAAAGCACAGGGAAAAUGAAUAUUGGCUUAAUGGGGAUUUGGGUCUAUAAUUUGAUUCUUUGCCUCAGCUUAGAGAAACAACCCACAGACAAAAGGUCAGUGGAUCCUAGUAGUGAUCUCCUGAGCCAGUGACGAAAGGGAUCACCUGCCAUUUCUCCAGGGACCCCUAGGAUCAGAAAUCACCUCUGUGGUAUGGAAACCUAGAAAGGAAGAAAUCCAGUGGACUCUUACUGGCCUGGAAAGUGUGUUAAAAGUGCCAGUGCUUCUUCACCUGACCCUUGAAGCAACUGAUAAGAUUUUCUUAGUGAGAAAAUUUCUAGCAAGGAUGUGGCCAAUGGUACUCAUAUUAGUUCCCAGGGGAAGAAUUUGGAGGCGAAAUGGAAAAAAGAAAGAGGGCUGGGAUGUGUCAAUUCAAUAAGCACUUACUGGAUGCUAACUAUGUAGCAGACACCAAGAGAUAAAUAAAACCUCUCUGUCCCUGGAAGCACUUGCAGAUGAGUAGGAACUAGCAACUACAGAGGAAAUUUUUCCCAGGAUUCAGACACCACUAUGCAAAACUGUCCGGCAUCCCAGCAGCUCAUUUCCAUUCUGAGACCUUGUUCUGUUACAAUUAUUGGGCAGCACAGUUCACUCUCUGGGCUACAAAACUCACCAGAUAAUUAGCAUCUCACAGAUGUUAACCCAGCAGCUGGGUGCUGCAUGAGGCACACACAGCCAGCCAAAAUCUCAGGAUGCUUGAAAGGAAAAAGAGAAAUUCAGAUGUCAUUGGUGCAAACAGGCAGCAGGCCCUGUCCCAGCCCAGCUCAGAAAUUCAGUUCUUGAUGGCAGCCUCACUCUAUCAAGACUUCAGUUAUUGGGACUUCCCUGGUGGUGCAGUGGUUAAGAAUCUGCCUGCCAAUGCAGAGGACAGGAGUUCGAGCCCUGGUCCAGGAAGAUCCCACAUGCCGCAGAGCAACUAAGCCCAUGUGCCACAACUACUGAGCCUGCGCUCUAGAGCCCGCGAGCCACAACUACUGAGCCUGAGCGCCACAACUACUGAAGCCCGCGCACCCUAGAACCUGUGCUCCACAAGAAGAGAAGCCAUCGCGAUGAGAAGCCUGCGUGCUGCAACGAAGAGUAGCCCCUGCUCGCCACAAUUAGAGAAAGCCCACGCAACAAAGACCCAA